AAGCACUAGCAGCCUGGAGAAGGUCUGCCUCUGCUAGGGGUUUCUUUCUGAGAAUCCCUAUUGACAGUCCCACUUUCCUUGGGAGGGGGGAAAUCCCAACGUCUGCCUUGACAGGGGGCAGAGCUUUGAUCAUUUCUAUUCAGCCUUGACUUGGCCUGCGAUUUAGGUCCUCAGUCUAGUAGUCAGCAGGCUGCCUUUUCACUUACUUCGCCUGUGCGUGCGCGCACACAUACACACAGUCACCCUUUACAGGUCUAAGCAGGCAGCAGCGGAGUGUCACAGCUCCGGCCAAGGCACAGUGCUCUGAAGAGAGCUGAACCAGUCUCCAUGGUGGCAGGAGGGGGCACUGGAGGUGACAACCAGGGAGAAGAUGCAGUCUGUUUUCAAGUUUGGAAACUACAAGUUUAUUGACCAAUUCAUCGAUCCUUCUGAAGUGAAUCCGCUUAGUGCAAAAAGGCUGUAGAAAAUCUGUGUGUACAUUCCAGUUGAAUGCAGCAAAGACUGAGGCUGCUCCCUUCAGAAUUUAGCGCAGGGAUCUAUAAAGACAUCCAUACUGAAGUAUUUCUUAAUUACCCACAGACUAAACAAGCUUUGCAUUGACAUAGCUUCAAAGUGGAUGAUUGAUCGUACCCGCCAGCUGGCUAAUAUCAUAAUUAACAAAGUUGCUACCAUGUCUGAGAAGUUUAAUCGAAAGAAUUUGCCAGCAGUAUGAUGCUAUUGUCACCCACAAAGAUCAUAAGCAUGGCAGAGUCGACUUUUUGGACUAAUGGAGCUGCAGAACUAUGUGGGAAGAAUGAGAAGUAGUACACCUGAAAGCUAUUAAGAUGUGAUAAUAAAAAAGGACCAUGAUUUAGUUUGGGCAAAGCUGUUUGAAUAGCAAAAUGACUCUCCAGAAUCAAGAGAGCAGAAAAGGAUGUCCUGCAGAAGAGUUUCAGGACAAAGAAUGCACUGAGGCUAUCAAAAAAACAGGUAAG
Molecule: long non-coding RNA, 974 nt
Organism: Heteronotia binoei (common prickly gecko)
Lineage: Eukaryota; Metazoa; Chordata; Lepidosauria; Squamata; Gekkonidae
Exons: 5
Source: RefSeq, a predicted model, not a curated record